RNAcentral lists this transfer RNA (157 nucleotides) under Arabidopsis thaliana (thale cress). RNAcentral describes it as "ATSL057730". The stretch from base 32 to 116 matches the Rfam family "tRNA". From Rfam's summary of the family: Transfer RNA (tRNA) molecules are approximately 80 nucleotides in length. The record is from RNAcentral. Lineage: Eukaryota; Viridiplantae; Streptophyta; Magnoliopsida; Brassicales; Brassicaceae.
AUCAGUACACAUGCAUGAAAUAGAAUACAAUCCGACUUUAGCUCAGUUGGUAGAGCGGAGGACAGUAGAAGACGCAGAUUAUCCUUAGGUCACUGGUUCGAAUCCGGUAGGUCGGAAUUUGCUCCCACAUGAGAGCUUUUUAUUUUUCUUUUGUUGU